GUAUGUUUGAAAGUUUGCAUCAUGACAGGGAAAAAGAAAAAAAAAGAAGACUUCUUUAACAGUUACUAGUCUUUUCAAAUAAAGAGAUAAUUCUAAUGACCAGAUUGGAAGUCUAAAUCAAACGUAUCACAUUAAGGAAUGUACCUUCAAGUUUGUUGUUAAAUUUUAAGUUGGUAAGCCUGACUUGCAGGCCAUUGAGGAUCAGAAUAAAAUGUGAUUUACUAAAGGAAUUGAAUGACAGCUUAUGGUCUGCAUUCAUUGCCACUGGAUAAUUUUUUUAAGACUUUAUUUUUUAGAGUCGUUCUAGGUUCAGAGCAAAAUCAAACGGAAGGUACAGAGAUUUCUCGUCUCUCCCCUGUCUGCACACUUGCAUAGUCUACCCUAUUAUCAAUAUUCCCCACCAGAGUGGUGCACUUAUUAAACUGAUAAAUUGUAUGUUGACCCGUCAUUGUCACCCUAAAUUGGUAGUGUACACUAGGGUUCACUCUCAGUCUUGUAUAUUCUGUGGCUUUGAGUAAAUGUGUAUGACAUAUAUCCACCAUUAUGAUAUAUACAGAAUACUUUCACCUCACUAGAGAAUUCUUGCUACUUCUUUGCUCCUGUUGAAUGAGGAGGUGACUCUGGUAGCCAUGUGUGGUUCCUUUGAACCUCAUGAGUGUGAUUCCCUAUAGGUAGAGCCAACGAGGAAGACUGAGGCCAGACCUCUCAUCUCACAGGGUACCUAGCUGUCCUCUAUCCCCACACCUCAGACUCCUCAGGAGAGAUGUCUGUGGAGCUGUGGAAAGGUACCUUCUUUAUGCAAAUGAAGAGACUAUGUGCUUGGAUUUUCUCGAUGACGAUUCCUGAUUCGUGGCCCUGGCAGUCUUGGGGAAGCGUUGUCGAGUUUCUUCAAUCCAGACCUUGGGGCCUCCUUUUUCUCCACAUCACUCCCACCCAGUUGAUCGAACCACUUUCUAGGACAUAUGAUAAGAAUCACAACCCUUCCCUCCCAGNUUUGUUUGUUUGUUUGUUUGUUUGUUUUGUUUUGUUUUGUUUGCAGGAUAAGAAUCACAACCCUUCCCUCCCAGCAUUAUUUUGAAGAUCAACCAAAAUCCAAAUGUGAGAGAUUAAUAUGAAGGGCU
This 1121-nucleotide long non-coding RNA is filed under the name Vulpes vulpes (red fox). RNAcentral's name for it is "lncRNA (ENSVVUG00000026568.1)". Lineage: Eukaryota; Metazoa; Chordata; Mammalia; Carnivora; Canidae. The record is from RNAcentral.